RNAcentral lists this ribosomal RNA (468 nucleotides) under uncultured bacterium. RNAcentral's name for it is "partial 16S ribosomal RNA". It matches the Rfam family "Bacterial small subunit ribosomal RNA", at positions 28 to 507 of the family's 1533-position model. The record is from RNAcentral.
GACGAACGCUGGCGGCGUGCUUAACACAUGCAAGUCGAACGGAAAGGCCCUGCUUUUGUGGGGUGUCCGAGUCGCGAACGGGUGAGUAACAAGUGAGUCACCUGCCUUUGACUUUGGGAUAACUUCAGGAAACUGGGGCUAAUACCGGAUAGGAGCUCCUGCUGCAUGGUGGGGGUUGGAAAGUCUCGGCGGUUGGGGAUGGACUCGCGGCUUAUCAGCUUGUGGGUGGGGUAGUGGCCUACGAAGGCUUUGAUGGAUAGCCGGCCUGGGAGGGUGACCAGCCACAUUGGGACUGAGAUACGGCCCAGACUGGAACGGGAGGCAACAGUGGGGAAUCUGGCACAAUGGGCGGAAGCCUGAUGCAGCAACGCCGCGUGCGAGAUGACGGCCUACGUGUGAUAAACCGCUGUCACCUGUUACGAAGCGUGAGUGACGGUAAUGGGUAAAGAAGCACCGGCUAACUACGUG